CCCCAAAAAAAAACCCCCCCCCCCCAAAAAAAAAAUUUGAAGUCAUGUAUGGGUGCUGGUGGCUGUCAAAUACCAUUACCAAAAGGCUUGAAAUAUUUCAACAUAUCAACGCAAAGCUCGAAAUUAAAUCACACUGUUGCUUGGUCGUUUAACAUAUGUGGCUAUGCAUUUCUUGGUAAGGCAAGUAAAUUAGAAUUUAAGGGUUUGCCGGAUCUUGGUGAUCUUAAUUUUGCAAAUAAGAUUAUGGAUAAUGUUCCAAUUGUGGUAGAUUGGACCAUCGGAAAUCUUAGUUGUGUUGAAGCACAGAAACACCUCCUUCACUCUCAUUAUUAGAAACAAAAUUAUAUUGAGAUCAAUUUCCUAUAUACACCAAAAGGGUCCGGAAAUCUGAAGAUUUUGGUAGCUUGUUAUUUUUUUUUUGAUUAAACAAAACUGGAAGGAAUUGCCAUCUAAGGAAAUAGGUGCACAACAUUGUGGAUGUUCAACAAUUUGCUUAUCAUUCAUAUGCGUUUCUGGAUUUUCCUCACGAGUGUUUCAAGAUAACUUCGUUGUUGUUGUUCCCUCCUUUACUGAUUGAGCUACAUCGCCCAAUUCCAGAUCUGGAUUUGCUUUUGUUUAGCUGGUCGUCCCUGUAAUUAGGAUCUGAGGCAGGUACAUCUGGCUAUCAGUCUGGUGUGUGCCCCUGAUUCUUAGUCCGAAACUUCCACGAUGAGCUGCCUCUUCCUGUGUCGUUCAGCAGCUUGAUGGAGUCUCUCUCUAUUUAUUUUUGUUGUCUAUUCUAUUUCGGACAACAGAAUGGAUUUAUUCUUUUGUAUAUUCUACUAGUUGCCUAUAACUUGUGACACUAGGUCUUGGCACACACAUUAGUAGACGUUUCUUUGGGUUAUAUAAUUAUUAUCGAAUGUUGCAUGUUA
Nicotiana tabacum (common tobacco) is the source of this 914-nucleotide long non-coding RNA. RefSeq lists it as uncharacterized. NCBI's taxonomy places the organism in Eukaryota, Viridiplantae, Streptophyta, Magnoliopsida, Solanales, Solanaceae. The record is from RefSeq and is a predicted model, not a curated record.